RNAcentral lists this ribosomal RNA (468 nucleotides) under uncultured bacterium. RNAcentral's name for it is "partial 16S ribosomal RNA". It matches the Rfam family "Bacterial small subunit ribosomal RNA", at positions 28 to 507 of the family's 1533-position model. The record is from RNAcentral.
GACGAACGCUGGCGGCGUGCUUAACACAUGCAAGUCGAACGGAAAGGCCCUGCUUUUGUGGGGUGCUCGAGUGGCGAACGGGUGAGUAACACGUGAGUAACCUGCCCUUGACUUUGGGAUAACUUCAGGAAGCUGGGGCUAAUACCGGAUAGGAGCUCCUGCUGCAUGGUGGGGGUUGGAAAGUUUCGGCGGUUGGGGAUGGACUCGCGGCUUAUCAGCUUGUUGGUGGGGUAGUGGCUUACCAAGGCUUUGACGGGUAGCCGGCCUGAGAGGGUGACCGGCCACAUUGGGACUGAGAUACGGCCCAGACUCCUACGGGAGGCAGCAGUGGGGAAUAUUGCACAAUGGGCGGAAGCCUGAUGCUGCAACGCCGCGUGCGGGAUGACGGCCUUCGGGUUGUAAACCGCUUUCGCCUGUGACGAAGCGUGAGUGACGGUAAUGGGUAAAGAAGCACCGGCUAACUACGUG